AGACGGGGCCCGGCACAAGCGGUGGAGCAUGUGGUUUAAUUCGAUGCAACGCGCAGAACCUUACCUGGUCUUGACAUCCCGGGAAUUCCUUGAAAGAGGGAAGUGCCUCGCAAGAGGAGCCUGGAGACAGGUGCUGCAUGGCUGUCGUCAGCUCGUGUCGUGAGAUGUUGGGUUAAGUCCCGCAACGAGCGCAACCCUUGUCUUUAGUUGCCAUCAUUCAGUUGGGCACUCUAAAGAGACUGCCGGUGUCAAACCGGAGGAAGGUGGGGAUGACGUCAAGUCCUCAUGGCCUUUAUGACCAGGGCUACACACGUACUACAAUGGCCGGUACAAAGGGCAGCCACUUAGCGAUAAGGAGCCAAUCCCGUAAAGCCGGUCUCAGUCCGGAUUGGAGUCUGCAACUCGACUCCAUGAAGUUGGAAUCGCUAGUAAUCGCAGAUCAGCACGCUGCGGUGAAUACGUUCCCGGGCCUU
Molecule: ribosomal RNA, 473 nt
Filed under: uncultured Desulfocapsa sp.
Lineage: Bacteria; Pseudomonadati; Thermodesulfobacteriota; Desulfobulbia; Desulfobulbales; Desulfocapsaceae
Description: bacterial SSU rRNA
Rfam family: Bacterial small subunit ribosomal RNA
Source: RNAcentral